This 450-nucleotide ribosomal RNA is filed under the name uncultured bacterium. RNAcentral describes it as "partial 16S ribosomal RNA". It matches the Rfam family "Bacterial small subunit ribosomal RNA", at positions 338 to 795 of the family's 1533-position model. The record is from RNAcentral.
CCUACGGGGGGCUGCAGUGGGGAAUAUUGCGCAAUGGGCGAAAGCCUGACGCAGCCACGCCGCGUGAGCGAUGAAGGCCUUCGGAUCGUAAAGCUCUGUGGGGAGAGAAGAAUAAAGCCUGUGAAGAGCAGGCCUUGACGGUAUCUCCUUAGCAAGCACCGGCUAACUCCGUGCCAGCAGCCGCGGUACUACGGAGGGUGCAAACGUUGCUCGGGUUCAUUGGGCGUAGGCGGCACGUAGGCUGCGCGGUGAAAACCCUGGGCUCAACCCAGGAAGUGCAUCCAAAACUGGCGGGCUGGAAUAUCGGAGGGGGUCGGAGAAUUCCCGGUGUAGAGGUGAAAUUCGUAGAUAUCGGGAGGAAUACCAGUGGCGAAGGCGCCGACCUGGACGAAGAUUGACGCUGAGGUGCGAAAGCGUGGGGAGCAAACAGGAUUAGAUACCCUAGUAGUC